Molecule: ribosomal RNA, 429 nt
Filed under: Pseudomonadota bacterium
Lineage: Bacteria; Pseudomonadati; Pseudomonadota
Description: Proteobacteria bacterium partial 16S ribosomal RNA
Rfam family: Bacterial small subunit ribosomal RNA
Source: RNAcentral
UGGGGAAUAUUGGACAAUGGGCGAAAGCCUGAUCCAGCCAUGCCGCGUGUGUGAAGAAGGUCUUCGGAUUGUAAAGCACUUUAAGUUGGGAGGAAGGGCAGUAAGCGAAUACCUUGCUGUUUUGACGUUACCGACAGAAUAAGCACCGGCUAACUCUGUGCCAGCAGCCGCGGUAAUACAGAGGGUGCAAGCGUUAAUCGGAAUUACUGGGCGUAAAGCGCGCGUAGGUGGUUCGUUAAGUUGAAUGUGAAAGCCCCGGGCUCAACCUGGGAACUGCAUCCAAAACUGGCGAGCUAGAGUAGGGCGGAGCGUGGUGGAAUUUCCUGUGUAACGGUGAAAUGCGUAGAUAUAGGAAGGAACACCUGUGGCGAAGGCGACCACCUUGGCUCAUACUAACACUGAGGUGCGAAAGCGUGGGGAGCAAGCAGG